This 155-nucleotide non-coding RNA is filed under the name Paramoeba aestuarina. The record is from RNAcentral. Lineage: Eukaryota; Discosea; Flabellinia; Dactylopodida; Paramoebidae.
AGAAAGAAAGAAAGAGAUAGAGAUAAAGAAAGAAUAAAAGUGUUUACAAAAGCUUUUUUUCUUUCUUUCUGUUUUUCUCUUUCUCUCUCUUUGUCUUUCUCUCUUUCUCUUCUCCCUCCCUACCCUCCUAAAUCGCAUCCGGGAGGAUGAAACAA